AUUUCUUCUUCUUCUUCUUCUUUUUAGGGCCACAUGUGCAGCAUAUGGAAGUUCCUAGGCUGGGGAUCAAAUUGGAGCUGCAGUUGCCAGCCUACACCACAGCCACAGCAAUGCCAGAUCUGAGCCACGUCUGUGACCUACACCACGGCUCACAGCAAUGCUGGAUCCUGGACCUAUUGAGCGAGGCCAGGGAUCAAACUCAUAUUCUCAUGGAUACUAUUGGGUUCAUUACCCCAAGCCACAAUGGAACUCUUUUUCUUAACUUCUUUAUUCCUACCUUCAAAUAUCAUUCUCCUGGGGCUGUGCCAUCCUCAAGUCAACUGGCCUGCCUCAAACAUCAAGACUGGGGGGUCUUGUGAAUGUGAAAUACUGACCAGUCCUCCUAUUUACUUCCCUUUCUGCAGCCAGUUCUACAGACCUGGCUUAGAUCUUAACCCUAGAUUCUCCUGGAAGAAAAUUCUGAGACAACAACCUGAUGGAAGAGGCUUAUUGGGAGCACUGAUGGGGGAGCAAGGAGGUGAGACAGGAAAGGGAGGAGAGGUGACACAGGAUGCUUUACUGAGCAGGUUCUGCUAUGAGCAACUGCGGCUCAUUCCUCCUUGAAGACCCCUGGGGAACACACCUCAGCACGAUCCUGAGGAGAAGUGAGGGAGCUGGGGCAUUUAGGCACCAACUCCCAUCCACCAUUGGUAGAAGGCGAUCUGAGCACUGGGGGGGAAGAAUCCCCCAUCCCACUGCUAGUCUGCCUCUUGCACUAGUGAAUACUCUCCUGCAGCCAGAGGAAGCCCCCGGGGGGCUGCAGAAACAAGCCAUCCGUGUACACAGCAAUAGUGAGAUCUGAGGGGGUCUGGGCAGAGGCACCAAUGCCUCAAGCAACAUGUCUGGACCGAUGCCCCAAAGUCUUCCAUUUUCUCAGCCCCAUGUGCUCUACUUAAACCGUAAAGUUCUCCAGUUGGAAGAGACUUGGUCAUCAUCUACACGAACCAAGCCCUCUCUUCAGUCCAGAAUCCCCUCCACAGCAUUCCUGACAAGUGGUUUGUCAGCCUCAGCUUGAAUACUGCUAAUGUCAGGGAACUCGCUGCACUGAAAUUAUUCCAGCAACUUGCUAUUCCUGGAAUAACUGACCUGUUGAAAAAUUCCUUUUUAAAAAAAGAGAUUCCACAUUGGCCACCUUGUCAUUUCCAACUGUUGGCCUUAGUUCUGCCUUUCAGAGCCCCACAAAAUGAUUCAGCUCCCCCAUUCGCAACAGCCCUUUUAAUCGUUGUGAAAGCCAACUGGUACGUUUUCACUACGACUCUUCUUCUCAGGCCUAAACCAUCCAGUGCCUUUACUACUCUUACUAAAACAUGAUCUUUCCAUGUGUUACCUGCAGGGACAGGACCAAAGACAGCAUGAGAGCAUGGGGUCCUCCCCGACGCUGCCAAUGGGAUUGACUGCAGCAGCUGAAACAUCCCCCACACAGGCCCCUCUUCCCCAGUCUGGGGUCAGGGAAAAGCUCUAAAUCCUAUUGAAACAGAAGGGCUCGGGCAAACAGUGAGGGGAUGAAAACAAUGAUACCGAAACAUCAAUGCAAAUCUGGGAGGUAGAGUUCCCUCUGGGCAUCUACACAGCCCUUUAAUCAUGAGAGACUAAAGCAAAUUCGUUUUAGUAUAAUUUAUUUUUUUUUACGUUAAAGACACAACUGGAGAUUAUCAAAUUUUUGUUACCUGAAAGAUGAUAAAUUAUCUUUUAUUUUUUCAUCCAUGCUCCUCUUAAGCCCAUCAGACAGGGCAGACUGAGGGUGAUCCAUUUCUUAACACUUUUUGGGUAAGGCUGUGCUGACCAGCUAUGAAUCCACUUAACUGUAGCUUACACAUAUUUAUUUGAUCUAAGAAAACACCAGGUCUAGAUGGUUUUACUGUUAAGGUUUAUCAAAUACUCAAGAACCAGUCAAUUCCUAUUUUACUCAAACUGUUCGAGAAAAUGGGGGGUCAGGGGAGGAGAUGGAGACUUCAGCUUAUUUUGAAAAGCUAGAAUUAUCCUAAAACCAAAACCUCUCAAAAAGAGUACAUGAAAAAAAAUUAUAGGAACACCUCCUUAAUGAAUAUAGAUACAAAAUUCCUUAAAGAUUAUGAAACUGGAUCUAGCUUUGAAUUUUUGUUUUAUAAAGCAGCUGAGUUGUAUUUAUUCCAAGAAAUGUAGGAUGGUUUUACAGAAAGUCUAUUAAUGUAACUUAGUACAUUAAUAGAUUGAAGAGGUGGGUAGGAGUUAGGAAUGGAUCACAGGAAAAACCCAGAAACUUUCUGGGUUUUUUUGUUUUUUGGGGUUUUUUUUGAGUAAUUUUUUUCUGUGUAACAAAACCCACAAAAUUUCUGUGAUAUAAAACAAGUAUUUUUUUUUUUCAU
Molecule: long non-coding RNA, 2384 nt
Filed under: Sus scrofa (pig)
Lineage: Eukaryota; Metazoa; Chordata; Mammalia; Artiodactyla; Suidae
Description: lncRNA (ENSSSCG00065031520.1)
Source: RNAcentral